UACGGAGGGUGCGAGCGUUGUCCGGAAUUAUUGGGCGUAAAGGGCUCGUAGGCGGUUUGUCGCGUCGGGAGUGAAAACCUCGGGCUUAACUCGGGGCUUGCUUUCGAUACGGGCAGACUGGAGGUAUGCAGGGGAGAACGGAAUUCCUGGUGUAGCGGUGAAAUGCGCAGAUAUCAGGAGGAACACCGGUGGCGAAGGCGGUUCUCUGGGCAUGACCUGACGCUGAGGAGCGAAAGCUAGGGGAGCAAACGGG
Molecule: ribosomal RNA, 253 nt
Filed under: uncultured bacterium
Lineage: Bacteria
Description: partial 16S ribosomal RNA
Rfam family: Bacterial small subunit ribosomal RNA
Source: RNAcentral